UGGGCCUUCAACAGUCGGGGCGA
Molecule: non-coding RNA, 23 nt
Filed under: Rattus norvegicus (Norway rat)
Lineage: Eukaryota; Metazoa; Chordata; Mammalia; Rodentia; Muridae
Source: RNAcentral